AUUGCCUCAGUAACGGCGAGUGAAGCGGCAAAGCUCAAUUUGAAAUCUAGCACUUUCAGUGUUCGAGUUGUAAUUUGAAGAAGGUAACUUUGGUUUUGGCUCUUGUCUAUUUUCCUUGGAACAGGACGUCACAUAGGGUGAGAAUCCCGUGCGAUGAGAUGCCCAAUUCCUUGUAAAGUGCUUUCCAAAAAUCCAGUUGUUUGGGAAUGCAGCUCUAAAUGGGUGGUAAAUUCCAUCUUAAGCUAAAUAUUGGCGAGAGACCGAUUGCGAACAAGUACCGUGAUGGAAAGAUGAAAAGAACUUUGAAAAGAGAGUGAAAAAGUACGUGAAAUUGUUGAAAGGGAAGGGCUUGAGAUCAGACUUGGUAUUUUGCGUUCCCUUCCUUUUUGGUUGGGUUCCUCGCAGUUUACUGGGCCGGCAUCGGUUUGGAUGGUAGGAUAAUGACAUUGGAAUGUAGCUUUACUUCCGUGAAGUGUUAUAGACUUUGUUGAUACUGCCUAUCUAGACCGAGGACUGCGUCUUUGACUAGGAUGCUGGCGUAAUGAUCUUAAGCCGCCCGUCUUGA
This 565-nucleotide ribosomal RNA is filed under the name Dujonia zeylanoides. RNAcentral describes it as "[Candida] zeylanoides partial large subunit ribosomal RNA". It matches the Rfam family "Eukaryotic large subunit ribosomal RNA", at positions 74 to 657 of the family's 3401-position model. The record is from RNAcentral. Lineage: Eukaryota; Fungi; Ascomycota; Pichiomycetes; Serinales; Debaryomycetaceae.